Molecule: long non-coding RNA, 858 nt
Filed under: Homo sapiens (human)
Lineage: Eukaryota; Metazoa; Chordata; Mammalia; Primates; Hominidae
Description: HSALNT0015529
Source: RNAcentral
GCGGAGGUUGCAGAGAGCCGAGAUUGCACCUUUGCACUCCAGCCUGGCAAAAGAGCGAGACUCCGUCCAAAAAAGAAAAAGAAAUUGCUAAAGAUUACACACACACACACACACACACACACAAAUACAAAUAAACAGCUAAUAAAUGAAUUCGGUAAAGUUGCAGGACACAAAAUCAACACAUAUGACUUCCUGAUGGUAAUUUUUUUAAAUUAAAUUUUAAAAAUUAAAAGAAAACAAGAUUAACUCAUAAAAGUUAGUUGCAUUUCCAUACACUAGCAAUGAACAAUCAGAAAAAGAAAUUAAACUUUUUUUUCAUUUACAAUAGCAUCAAAAAAAGUAAAAUACUUGAGAAUAUAUUUUACCAAGGAGGUAAAAGACUUGUACAUAGAAUACUGCAAAACAUUGCUGAAAUAAAUAAGAAGACCCAAAUAAAUAGAAAGACAUCUCAUGUUCAUGGAUUGGAAGACUUAAUAUGGUUAAGACAACAAUACUACCCCAAAUAACCUACAGACUCAAUGUAAUUCCUAUCAAAAUCCCAACAGCAAUUAGCAAGGCAUGGUGAUGCACACCUGUAGUCCACCACCUCAGGAGACUAAGGUGGAUCACUUGAGCCCAGGAGUUCAAAGCUACAGUGAACUCUGAUUGUGCCACUGCAUUCCAGUCGGAGCAACAGAGAGAGACUAUGGAAAAGAAAAAAAAAAAUCUCAACAGCAAUUUUUGCAGAAAUAGAAAAAAUCCUAAAAUCUCAAAAAAUCCUAAAUAGCCAAAACAAUCCUGGGAAAAAGGAGCAAAGUUGGAGAGCUUAACAUUUUCUAAUUUUAAAACUCACUAUAAAAUUAGCCGGGCGUAGUGGCG